This 377-nucleotide ribosomal RNA is filed under the name uncultured bacterium. Its description in RNAcentral is "bacterial SSU rRNA". It matches the Rfam family "Bacterial small subunit ribosomal RNA", at positions 521 to 896 of the family's 1533-position model. The record is from RNAcentral.
UAAUACGUAGGAGGCGAGCGUUAUCCGGAUUUACUGGGCGUAAAGAGGGUGUAGGCGGUCUUUCAAGUUGGAUGUGAAAUCUCCCGGCUUAACUGGGAGGGGUCAUUCAAUACUGUUAGGCUAGAGGGCAGCAGAGGGAGGUGGAAUUCCCGGUGUAGUGGUGAAAUGCGUAGAUAUCGGGAGGAACACCAGUGGCGAAGGCGGCCUCCUGGGCUGUUGCUGACGCUGAGGCCCAAAAGCGUGGGGAGCAAACAGGAUUAGAUACCCUGGUAGUCCACGCCAUAAACUAUGGACACUAAGUAUAGGGAGUAUCGACCCUCUCUGUGCUGAAGCUAACGCUUUAAGUGUCCCGCCUGGGGACUACGGCCGCAAGGUUA